UUAUUUUUGUCGAACUUCUUG
Caenorhabditis elegans is the source of this 21-nucleotide non-coding RNA. The record is from Ensembl. NCBI's taxonomy places the organism in Eukaryota, Metazoa, Nematoda, Chromadorea, Rhabditida, Rhabditidae.